CGAAAGCCCUGACGGACCAUCCGGCGUGCGGGAAGGAAAGGCCUUUGGUUCUUAACGGCUUUUAACAGGGAAGAAGAUCUGACGGUAACCUUUGGAAUUAAGCCUCGGUUAACUCCCGUGGCCAGCAGCCCCCGUUAAGGACGAGGAAGCCAACCUUUAUCCGGAAUUAAUUUGGGGCGUAAAAGCUUCCGCAGUUGCCUUUCAAGUCUGCCUGUUAAAAGCCCAGGGCUCAACUCUGGAUCAGCAAGUGGAAACUUGAAAAGCUGGAGUACGGUAGGGAUAGAGGGAAUUCCCAGUGUAGCGGUGAAAUGCGUAGAUAUUGGGAAGAACACCAGUGGCGAAGGCGCUCUGCUGGGCCGUAACUGACACUCAUGGACGAAAGCUAGGGGAGCG
This 393-nucleotide ribosomal RNA is filed under the name uncultured bacterium. RNAcentral's name for it is "bacterial SSU rRNA". It matches the Rfam family "Bacterial small subunit ribosomal RNA", at positions 376 to 770 of the family's 1533-position model. The record is from RNAcentral.